RNAcentral lists this transfer RNA (74 nucleotides) under Mariniphaga sp. RNAcentral's name for it is "tRNA-Arg". It matches the Rfam family "tRNA". Rfam says of the family: Transfer RNA (tRNA) molecules are approximately 80 nucleotides in length. Their secondary structure includes four short double-helical elements and three loops (D, anti-codon, and T loops). Further hydrogen bonds mediate the characteristic L-shaped molecular structure. tRNAs have two regions of fundamental functional importance: the anti-codon, which is responsible for specific mRNA codon recognition, and the 3' end, to which the tRNAs corresponding amino acid is attached (by aminoacyl-tRNA synthetases). tRNAs cope with the degeneracy of the genetic code in two manners: having more than one tRNA (with a specific anti-codon) for a particular amino acid; and 'wobble' base-pairing, i.e. permitting non-standard base-pairing at the 3rd anti-codon position. RNAcentral also lists the same sequence under 1 other name. Lineage: Bacteria; Pseudomonadati; Bacteroidota; Bacteroidia; Marinilabiliales; Prolixibacteraceae. The record is from RNAcentral.
GGCCCAAUAGCUCAAUUGGAUAGAGCGACAGCCUUCUAAGCUGUAGGUUUCUGGUUCGAUCCCAGAUUGGGUCA